This is a non-coding RNA of Pangasianodon gigas (Mekong giant catfish), 70 nucleotides long. The record is from the annotation of a GenBank genome assembly. NCBI's taxonomy places the organism in Eukaryota, Metazoa, Chordata, Actinopteri, Siluriformes, Pangasiidae.
GGCAGUGGUAGCUCAGUAGCUCAGUGGACUACUGAUCUGUAGGUCAUGAGUUCAAAUCCCAGCACUGCCA